Molecule: transfer RNA, 72 nt
Filed under: Aedes aegypti (yellow fever mosquito)
Lineage: Eukaryota; Metazoa; Arthropoda; Insecta; Diptera; Culicidae
Description: partial tRNA-OTHER
Source: RNAcentral
GGCUCAGUAGAUCAUUUGGAAAAGCACUCGUCUAGCAUACAAGAAUCGAGGGUUCAAAUCUCACCUGAGCAC